This 1091-nucleotide long non-coding RNA is filed under the name Microcebus murinus (gray mouse lemur). RNAcentral's name for it is "lncRNA (ENSMICG00000048277.1)". Lineage: Eukaryota; Metazoa; Chordata; Mammalia; Primates; Cheirogaleidae. The record is from RNAcentral.
GUCCAUUUUGGGCCCAUCCAGGGAGGCUCUGUGAGGCUCAUCGUAGUUAUGACGGGAGCAGCCACAUUCCAGAACAUUCUGGAACGUCGCUUGCUGCCAUGCCUGGAAGAAAAUAAGAGCUUUGGAGGGUCUGGCACGCACAGUUAAAUGCUCUAGCCUGGGAAUGACGUGUCAGUUUCGCUCACAGCUCAUUGGUUACAGCUGGUCACAUGACCUCGUUCACACAAAGCAGGCAGGAAGUAAGUACAGUUAGUUCUACCUUGUGCCCAGAAAGGGGAGCGCAGGGAAUGAAUGCUCCGACAGCUAACAGGGUGCUGUGACAAUGAAGUGAGUCAGUGAGUGGAAACUCAUCUAGGGCAGCACCUGGCGCGAGUGCUGUUUUUGCAUCCCCAGUUUUGUGUUUUAACAGGAAGGGUGACCCCACUCAGGUGCCUCUUUGACACUGGUUGAGCAGGACCAAGAUGGAUCAGUGGCUGGAAGCCUGGAACAUAUGCGACAGGUGUGCGCCACGUGCGGGCCAGUCAUUGUUUAACCGUCUAGAACUCAAUGCAAAGAAGAACUGUCCAUGGCUGCAGCGGAACACAGAUCACAAAGCCCAUGCAGGCGCUGUGUGGCCCAGAGGUCUUGUCAACUCCAAGAAGUUCAAAACCAGCCCGUUCUUCCACCAAUGGGAGCGCCCCUUGGAGAAAUCUUUGUUUUCUCGCACAAGAUGAUGCACACAAAAUGUUGGCAACAAUCUAAGGUUUAUCAACAGCAGGAAAUGGGUUAAAAGAAUUAUGGCUCAGACCAUGGAAAGCGAGACUAAAAUAAAACAGGUGGAAAAAGUACCAAAAUCUGUCGUGAUCAUAACGGGUUGAAUUGUGACCCCCACGAAGAUAUGUCUGAGUCCUUGCGCCUGGUACCCAGGAAGGUGGCUUGAUUUGGAAGCUGGGUCUUUUUUUUUUUUUUUUUUUGAGACAGAGUCUCGCUUGCCCAGUUGCCCAGGCUAGAGUGAGUGCCGUGGCAUCAGCCUAGCUCACAGCAACCUCAAUCUCCUGGGCUCAAGCAAUCCUCUGCUCAGCCUCCCGAGUAGCUGGGACUACAGGCAUGCG